Chionomys nivalis (European snow vole) is the source of this 104-nucleotide small nuclear RNA. NCBI's taxonomy places the organism in Eukaryota, Metazoa, Chordata, Mammalia, Rodentia, Cricetidae. The record is from RefSeq and is a predicted model, not a curated record.
UUACUUCAACAGCACAUAUCCUAAAAUUUAGAACAUUACAGAUGAGAUUAGCUUGGCCUCUGUGCAACAAUUUCACUCAAAUUUGUGAAGCAUUCCAUAUUUUA